CCACCUGAGUCUUUCCUGUCCUGGCAGUGCAGUACAGGUCUGGGGACAGCUGGUGCUACAGCACAGCAGCGGAAAUCCAGAUGGGCUGUUUUCCAGUGGUUUAGAGCUCAUCUCUACACCUCUGCGACACUG
Molecule: small nucleolar RNA, 132 nt
Filed under: Buceros rhinoceros silvestris
Lineage: Eukaryota; Metazoa; Chordata; Aves; Bucerotiformes; Bucerotidae
Description: Small nucleolar RNA SNORA55
Rfam family: Small nucleolar RNA SNORA55
About the family: ACA55 is a member of the H/ACA class of snoRNA that guide the sites of modification of uridines to pseudouridines.
Source: Rfam by way of RNAcentral